UAUCUUAGCUGGUGCCCAAACUUAGAUU
Molecule: non-coding RNA, 28 nt
Filed under: Mus musculus (house mouse)
Lineage: Eukaryota; Metazoa; Chordata; Mammalia; Rodentia; Muridae
Source: RNAcentral